Molecule: ribosomal RNA, 513 nt
Filed under: Triticum aestivum (bread wheat)
Lineage: Eukaryota; Viridiplantae; Streptophyta; Magnoliopsida; Poales; Poaceae
Description: partial small subunit ribosomal RNA
Source: RNAcentral
AUGUCAGAGAAGUUUGAGAUGUCUAUGAUGAGUGAACUCAAAUUCUUUCUCGGUUUGCAAAUCAAGCAAACUAAGGAAGGUACAUUUGUCUCUCAAACAAAGUACACCAAGGACUUAUUCAAGAAGUUCAAUAUGCAAGAAUGCAAAGGUAUGUCUACACCCAUGCCUACUAGUGGACAUAAUGAUUUGACCAAAGAUGGUGAACCAGUUGAUCAAAAGGUUUAUCGCUCUAUGAUUGGUUCAUUGUUAUACCUAUGUGCUUCAUGUCCCGAUAUUAUGCUAAGUGUGUGCAUGUGUGCACGAUAUCAAGCUGCUCCUAAAGAAUGUCAUCUUAAGGCUGUGAAAAGGAUAGUGAGAUAUUUAAUCCAUACACCAAAUUUUGGCAUCUGGUAUCCUAAGAGGUCUUCUUUUGAUCUUGUUGGCUAUUCCGACUCGGAUUAUGCCGGAGACAAGAUUGAUAGAAAGUCCACUUCGGGUACUUGUCAAUUUCUUGGUAGGUCUCUUGUGUCUUGA